UCUCCAGACCUUUUUUUGUACAAGUGCAGUUUCCAGACAUUCACAGAGUGAUUUUGCAGUUCAAGAAAGUGUGUAAAAUGAUGUAUUGUUUUACAGGUGAAGCACCCAGCCAUUCUCAGAGUGAUUUCUCCAUUCAAGAAGAACAAGCUGACCAAAGUCUGCUGGCUUCAAUCAGGAAGGAGAUCUCAUCCGCUACUCGCAGCAUUUUGAAAGACAUGGCUGUCUUAAAAACGCAAAAUGAGGCCAUUUUGAACCUCUUAGGUAGUAACCGCGAGUGCGAGAUGGAUGAGCAGCCUGUACAGACAUACCCGCUAAGGACGGUUGAUGAAAUUGACCAUCUGGAAAGUAAUUUGAAAAGCUCCAGCAGCACCCGCAGGCAACUGUGCAAAGUCCUAGGUCACAUUGGCGGCAACACAGUGCGCUCAACAACUGCAAACAUCUUGAAAUAUUUACUUCACGAUUCCGUCGCUGUCAUGUACAGUCUCCAUGGGCAAAAAGGAAAAAGAGCCUUGGCUGAGACAGAGUUGUGCCGCAUAAUUCUGGGUAAGCGGUGUGCAAGUGUCUGCAAGCUACUGUAAUAAGUGGCAUGCUAGAUUUACAGCAUUGGCUUGCUUUAAUUGCACAUCGAGUCACAAUGUGUAAUUUUGCGAUCUGUAAGCUGUAACGAAACAUUAAAAAAUUGUUUUGCCAUAUGCAAGCUCAGUUUAAACACAUUGGGUAGGUCACUUCUGGCAGUGGCCUACUGGCUAUGGCAUUGAACUGAACGCAUUGUCAAAUGCUUGAAUACCAACCAUAUGUAUGCAGCCCUCCACCACAGUAUUUCAUAAUGUGGCAGUAGCUGUGGUAUGUAAAACAAAUCGGCAAUUAGAUAACUAGCUAAGUUUUCAGAACGUUAAUUCAGUCACUUAAUAUACAAAAGAUGGUUAUUUGGAGACCUGUGUGGUUUUGUUGAAUGCCCAUUGUAUAACUUAGUGCUUUUUACAGAGUCCGUACGAAAAAAUGCAGCAACAGCAUCUGCUUCAGAUGCAGAAAUCCGUACAGGUAUCAUGGCAUGGCUAAAGAAUGCACAAGCCCGUCUUGAUGCAGCCAUGAAGCGGGCACAUGUUGAAACGGACCAAUGAGUAAACAGUUAAAUGGUGGCAAAGCAGCCACAUUUUUCAAGCAGUUGUGUGCUCACCAAUCAAACUUAAGGUAAACAUAUAGAAGCAUGCUAGGAUUGACUUUUUUUUUUUACUGUCUUCUUUUAAUUUUGAUGCAGCUGUUACGUUUACUCAUUCACGACACCACAAGGCCUGCUGGUUGCCAUUGUUUUUGUCUAGUCGAGGUAAGCCGCAUGGUUCCAAGCCAGAGCUUGACUGUUUUGUGGACUGACUACUUUUAAUUUCUACGCAGCUCUUAUGUUUACUCUCACAGAACCACGAGGU
Dermacentor andersoni is the source of this 1424-nucleotide non-coding RNA. The record is from RefSeq and is a predicted model, not a curated record. Lineage: Eukaryota; Metazoa; Arthropoda; Arachnida; Ixodida; Ixodidae.